GAUGAACGCUGGCGGCGUGCCUAAUACAUGCAAGUCGAGCGAACAGACGAGGAGCUUGCUCCUCUGACGUUAGCGGCGGACGGGUGAGUAACACGUGGAUAACCUACCUAUAAGACUGGGAUAACUUCGGGAAACCGGAGCUAAUACCGGAUAAUAUAUUGAACCGCAUGGUUCAAUAGUGAAAGACGGUUUUGCUGUCGCUUAUAGAUGGAUCCGCGCCGCAUUAGCUAGUUGGUAAGGUAACGGCUUACCAAGGCAACGAUGCGUAGCCGACCUGAGAGGGUGAUCGGCCACACUGGAACUGAGACACGGUCCAGACUCCUACGGGAGGCAGCAGUAGGGAAUCUUCCGCAAUGGGCGAAAGCCUGACGGAGCAACGCCGCGUGAGUGAUGAAGGUCUUCGGAUCGUAAAACUCUGUUAUUAGGGAAGAACAAAUGUGUAAGUAACUAUGCACGUCUUGACGGUACCUAAUCAGAAAGCCACGGCUAACUACGUG
RNAcentral lists this ribosomal RNA (497 nucleotides) under uncultured bacterium. RNAcentral's name for it is "partial 16S ribosomal RNA". It matches the Rfam family "Bacterial small subunit ribosomal RNA", at positions 28 to 507 of the family's 1533-position model. The record is from RNAcentral.